CACGCAGGCGGUUGGAUAAGUUAGAUGUGAAAGCCCCGGGCUCAACCUGGGAAUUGCAUUUAAAACUGUCCAGCUAGAGUCUUGUAGAGGGGGGUAGAAUUCCAGGUGUAGCGGUGAAAUGCGUUGAUAUCCUAUAGAACACCGGAGGCGAAGGCGGAUUCCUUGAACAGCACUGACGCUGAGGCACGAAAGCGUGGGGAAGCAAACA
Molecule: ribosomal RNA, 208 nt
Filed under: uncultured bacterium
Lineage: Bacteria
Description: partial 16S ribosomal RNA
Rfam family: Bacterial small subunit ribosomal RNA
Source: RNAcentral